AAACGUUAGCGGUCCCCCAAACCUGAUUGGUCAAAGGAAGACUGAAGCAUCUGAGAGCAGAUCAGUGCUGCACCCUGAGCUACACCUCAGCCCUACCCACCUAACUGAAUGCACAACUGUCCCCAAACCCAUGGAACCAAGACCUGCCAGGGAAUAUAAGGAAAAUGUACCCCCAAAGACUGUGGCUAUCCUGAGGCCAGAGCUGAAGAGACCCUGGAGAAACCUGGACAUCAGCUUGGGUAGCAGAGGAGACCAGAAGAUGCCCAUGUGCCAGGUCACCACACACUCCCAAGGCCCAGUGCUAAGCCAGAAGCCCUGCCAAGUCCAAAGUAACCUGGCCUGCCCACAUCCCCGCCUGGCCCUUGCCCUGAAGGACACAACUGGCCAACUAGGUGACGCAGCGCUGCAGCAGCAGAGUAACCUACAGCUGCCAGCAGGGAGGUCCCAGGGGAGGAUCCGAGAGCCAUUUGUACAGCAGAGUAACCUGUGCUUCCGAGGGACCACUAGCCCCCAUCUGCAGUACAGCUGUCUGCCACCAACUGGCCCAUCCUCCCACCAGAAGCACAGACUCCAGGUCGCAGGCU
Molecule: long non-coding RNA, 584 nt
Filed under: Mus pahari (shrew mouse)
Lineage: Eukaryota; Metazoa; Chordata; Mammalia; Rodentia; Muridae
Description: lncRNA (MGP_PahariEiJ_G0003814.1)
Source: RNAcentral